UAUUAAAUAUGAAUUUUAAGGAUCAGGGGUGUCAUGAGGGAUUCCCGACUACUACUGUGAAUAGGAAACAGUUUAGUUUGAUAUACAAUAUAAAAAUUAUAAAUGAAUGACCACGGUCAUACUUCACCAUUAUGGCCCCUAUAAUCACAGUUGAAGACUAAUGAUUACGGUCGUACCUCGCCAUUGUGGUCUCUAUAAGCAAUAACGAUUCCACUCUGGUCAUAGGGAAUGCCAGUACCAUUAACUGGAAUGGUUCAUCAACAGUCAUUGGAAGUCAUAAUCGGUAACCUCUUAAUGAUAAUGAUCAAACAAAUUUUUAAUCUUUCUACUUUUCCUAUCAGUUUUGAAACUAUUAUCAAUUUACAGUCUAGACCUAGUGGG
RNAcentral lists this long non-coding RNA (381 nucleotides) under Carica papaya (papaya). RNAcentral describes it as "long non-coding RNA (CPAP_LNC002450)". Lineage: Eukaryota; Viridiplantae; Streptophyta; Magnoliopsida; Brassicales; Caricaceae. The record is from RNAcentral.